CAAGGUCACUUCCGGUAGUCAUUUUUCAAGGUCAUUUGUCACCUAAUCUUUUGUACAAGGUCAAAUGCCUUUAUAAUGAACUUAGUUGAAGUCAUAAUCAAAUAACCUCAUAUCAAGACAUUUGAGGGGCAACAACUCCUUUAAGAUGCCAUUAAAUUGUAUAAGACUAAAUGUAGCAUAUCUUCAUUACAAUAAAGCUGACAUUUUGCACUUGUUCUUUAGUAUGUAUCUUUCAAAGUGUCGGAGAAAAUGCAAAAACAAGCAAAAGUCACAAUUAAGAACUUGACCUUGACCUUUGACCUUGACCUAAUUUUCUAAGUUAGGACCCAGGGGACUCAAAUAAAAACAUUCCAGGGUUAUACGGUUAACGGUUUAUGAGUUAAAAAAACAUACCGACAAAUUUAUUCCGUAAAGGUAGAUAACUCCUAUAAAAUUUCAUCGAAUCGCUUCGAUCCAAAUUAGCCAAAAAUUCCUGAGGAUGUAACGAACAAUUUGUAAAAAGAAUUUUGUCGCUAUCUUUUUUUGUUACGAAGGAGAUGCACACACAUGAUAAACAGUGAAUAGGGAGAUAACUCUUACAAAGAAAAUGGUUCGGCUUAGCAGGGUGAAAUUUAAAAGCGCAUAAACUAUACGAUACAAUAUGAGAAAAAUCUAAGCGACAUAUUGCGAAACAAACAUUUAUCGCAAGAACAAAAUUUGGCGGAAAAAAAAAAAAAAAAUAAUAAUAGAAAAAUCAAUUAAUAAGCUUUUAAAUAAAGCAAAAAAGCAAUUGUAGGGGGUCUUUCCCCCUUUAAAAUUAAUUGAAUUUGGGGGGGGGGGUGUUUGUUUGUUUGUUUGUUUGUUUGUUUCUGUAUGGGGUCUAUAUUAUAUGUUACCGAGAGAAGUUUCAUGUUUAGUUUGGAAAGUUUUUCUUUUAUUUUAGAUACAGCGCGCGCGCCACAUUCACGUGACAUCACGUGACGCGGGUUUAUAAUAACGAAAAAGAUAGUCUUUUUAAUUUCUUUUUAGGUCGGGACUUUGAACAGACAACAUGUAUAGAGAUGGAAUGCACACAAUGUAAUUUCUUUUGUCAUUGUAGGAAAUUGACAUUUUGAUGACAGUUCACAAGCAGUGCAUGUUUUGGAUUUAAUUCGAUCCGGUGUAACUUUAAAACACAUUUAAUGAUUAUUUUUUGAUAAUGUACAUUUUUCAGCACCUGUUUGUAACACAGAUUAGUAUUUCAAUCUCGGAGCGGACAUUUUAUUGUAGGUUUUUACUGAGAUUGACGGACCUAGCAAGCGAUUUUUACGGCAUUGCCAUUUCUUUUUUCUAGGAAAAGUCUUGAGAGAUAUCUGCAAAAGUUUUUUUUAUGAACCUUCAGUACAUGUAUGCCCUGCUGACUGCAAAUUUUCAGGUCGAUUGGACUUGUAGUUUCAGAGAAUAUGUGGAUUUUUUUUCAGAAGAGACGUAAGAACAAUAAUAAAAUAAAAAUUUUCUUGAAUAAUUGAGAGUUUGUUCCUUCAAUAUACUGUCAUAAAUAAACAGUCAUACAUAUUGAUUGAUUGAUUAGUUGGUUGAUUGAUUGGUUGGUUUGUUGGUUGGUUGAUUAAACACGUUUGAUAGGGUCACUUAGAACAAGGGAAAAAACCUCAAGAGACCUUGCAUCCCGUAUUAAACGCAUGACACGGAAACAUACAUUAAGUGAUUGAUUGGUUGGUUGGUUGGUUAAACACGUUGGUUAAACAUGUUGGUUGAACACGUUGGUUAAACACGUUGGCUGGUUAAACACGUUUGAAAGGCUCAAUUUAAACAAGCGAAAAAAAAAACAUCUUGGAUCCCGUAUUUAACACAUGAAACGGAAACAUGCAUUGAUUGGUUGAUUGGUUGGUUGGUUGGUUGGUUAAACACGUUGGUUAAACAUGUUGGUUAAACACGUUGGCUGGUUAAACACGUUUGAUAGGCUCAAUUUAAACAAGCGAAAAAAAACCAUCUUGGAUCCCGUAUUUAACACAUGAAACGGAAACAUGCAUUGAUUGAUUGAUUGGUUGGUUGGUUGGUUAAACACGUUGGUUAAACAUUGGUUAAACACGUUGGUUAAACACGUAGUUUAAACACGUUUGAUAGGCUCAAUUUUAACAAGCGAAAAAAAACCAUCUUGGAUCCCGUAUUUAACACAUGAAACGGAAACAUGCAUUGAUUGGUUGAUUGGUUGGUUGGUUGGUUGGUUUGGUUGGUUGGUAAACACGUUGGUUAAACACGUUGGUUAACACGUUGGUUAAACACGUUGGCUGGUUAAACACGUUAGAUAGGCUCAAUUUAAACAAGCGAAAAAAAAACCAUCUUGGAUCCCGUAUUUAACACAUGAAACGGAAACAUGCAUUGAUUGAUUGGAUUGUUGGUUGGUUGGUUGGUUGGUUGGUUAAACACGUUGGUUAAACAUGUUGGUUAAACACGUUGGUUAAACACGUUGGCUGGUUAAACACGUUAGAUAGGCUCAAUUUAAACGAGCGAAAAAAAAACAUCUUGGAUCCCGUAUUUAACACAUGAAACGGAAACAUGCAUUGAUUGAUUGAUUGAUGGUUGGUUGGUUAAACAUGUUGGUUAAACACGUUGGUUAAACAUGUUGGUUAAACACGUUUGAUAGGCUCAAUUAAAACAAGCGAAAAAAAGAAGACCUUGAAUCCCGUAUCAAACACAUGAAACGGAAACAUUGAUUGAUUGAUUGAUUGAUUGAUUGAUUGAUUGAUUGAUUGAUUGAUUGAUUGAUUGAUUGAUUGAUUGAUUGAUUGAUUGAUUGAUUGGUUGGAAUUCAAACACACAUAAAACUGUUUAAAUAGUGCCAAAAAACACAUAAUUUGAUGACCUUGACCUUUGACCUUGUGACCUUCGUCAAGGUCAUUGCUCCACAAGGUCAUUGCAAAAGACCCUAUGGGUCAAGGACCUUUUGUUUAAGAGUUUUGCCUAAAAAUGGCUUUUUAAAAACCAUCGAUGGGAGUUAUGUCCCUUACAUGAUGGUAAAAUCAAUAUAGUCAUAAUGUAAAAAAGUUGCCCCUUGAAGUACCAAGCAUUUUUCACUGCUUAAAUUUUUUGUAUCUAUAACCGUUCAAGAAUUAUAGGGAAAUGAAAAACUUAUGAAAAUCUAAAAUAUGACCUUGACCUUUGACCUUGACCUAAUUUUCUAAGUUAGGACCCAGGGGACUCAAAUAAAAACAUUCCAGGGUUAUACGGUUAACGGUUUAUGAGUUUAAAAAACAUACCGACAAAUUUAUUCCGUAAAGGUAGAUAACUCCUAUAAAAUUUCAUCGAAUCGCUUCGAUCCAAAUACGCCAAAAAUUACUGAGGAUGUAACGAACAGUUUGUAAAAAGAAUUUUGUCGCUUUCUUAUUUUGUUACGAAGGAGAUGCACACAGAGGAUAAACAGUGAAAAGGGAGAUAACUCUUACAUAGAAAAUGGUUCGCCUUAGCAGGGUGAAAUUUAAAAGCGCAUAAACUAUACGAUACAAUAUGAGAAAUAUCUAAGCGACAUAUUGCGAAACAAACAUUUAUCGCAAGAACAAAAUUUGGCGGAAGAAAAAAAUAAUAAUAAUAAUAAUAAUUAAAAACCAAUUGUUCAGAGAACAAUUGAAGGUCUUUCCA
Molecule: long non-coding RNA, 3615 nt
Filed under: Mytilus galloprovincialis (Mediterranean mussel)
Lineage: Eukaryota; Metazoa; Mollusca; Bivalvia; Mytilida; Mytilidae
Source: RNAcentral